RNAcentral lists this ribosomal RNA (1836 nucleotides) under Plasmodium berghei. Its description in RNAcentral is "eukaryotic LSU rRNA". It matches the Rfam family "Eukaryotic large subunit ribosomal RNA", at positions 1284 to 2738 of the family's 3401-position model. The record is from RNAcentral. Lineage: Eukaryota; Apicomplexa; Aconoidasida; Haemosporida; Plasmodiidae.
AACAACUCACCUACCGAAUGAACUAGCCCUGAAAAUGGAUGGCGCUAAAGCGGAUUACCGAUACCAAGCCAUAGAAAGAGAUUUAAGGGUUAUUUGGGUUCGUCCCUAUUAAUCUUUUUUUGAAUCUUUCUAUGAGUAGAAAAUCGUGGGGUUUGUGUAGAAGCAAGAUGCGUGAGCUCUUGUGGAACAUAUCCCUAGUGCAGAUCUUGGUGGAAGUAGCAAUUAUUCAAAUGAGAACUUUGAAGACUGAAGUGGAGAAGGGUUUCUUGCCAACUUUGAUUGUUCAAGAGUUAGCCGCUCCUAAGGGAAAGCUGAAAAGCAUUUAAAUAGGGAUUUGGUGUGGCAAGCAAUUGUUGUGUCUUUUCCCGGUCCCAAAAGGGAAACAGGUUAAUAUUCCUGUGCCUAGGUUAAUGUUAUAUAUGGAAGAUGGUAACAUAAUUUGGAAUGAACUUCUUAACGCAGGUUUUACGAUCGAAAUGCGUUAUCUUUGCAUUUUAACUUAUAGCUAACCUUGGAAUCAAUUUAAUUGGAGAAAAGGUUUGCUGAAUUGCAAUUCAUGAGGUUUUUAAGUGGCGGAAUAAUUUAUUAUUCCACAUUUAAAAAAUUAGUGUUUUGUAGUAAAAGUAAUUCAAUAUUAUGGAUUAUUCGAUAUGUAAGAACUGCCCGUGAAAAGGGAAGGGAACAGCUAUAUGUAGUGGGCAUGUUGUGAUGUUUUCAUGAGAGUUAUAUAUAAAGAAUAAAGUUAUUUGUUAAGCGAUAACUUUAUUCUUUAUAUAUAAUUUCUCUUGAAAGUGUCACAAUAAUGUUACAUUAUGAUAGCAUAGAUAACGAUGCCAUUUAGAGCGUACCCACAACCGCAUCAGGUCUCCUAGGUUAACAGCCUCUGGUUAAAUAGAAAAAAGUAAGUAAGGGAAGUCGGCAAAAUAGAUCCGUAACUUCGGGAAAAGGAUUGGCUCUGAGGGCAUAGAGUAAAGAAGCUAAAGUUAACGUUUGAAAUAAGACAUUAUGAAUGCUUAUGGUUCGCUAUAUGUAUUUAUAUUAUCCGUUUUUCUUAUGUUUUUUUAUCUAACCUUUAUUCGCGACCAUAUAAAAACUCUCCAUCAUGCCUCUUUCGCAUGGGUUGUAGUUUUAAUAUGGUAUAUAAAUGCCAACUCAGAACUGAAACGGACAAAGGGAAUCCGACUGUUUAAUUAAAACAUAGCUUUGUGAAAAGCCAGAAAUGGUAUUAACACAAAGUGAUUUCUGCCCAGUGCUUUGAAUGUCAAAUUGAUGAAAUUCAAUCAAGCGCAGGUAAACGGCGGGAGUAACUAUGACUCUCUUAAGGUAGCCAAAUGCCUCGUCAUCUAAUUAGUGACGCGCAUGAAUGGAUUAACGAGAUUCCCACUGUCCCUACUUGCUAUCUAGCGAAACCACAGCCAAGGGAACGGGCUUGGCCAAAUCAGCGGGGAAAGAAGACCCUGUUGAGCUUUACUCUAGUCUGGCUUUGUGAAACGACUUAAGAGGUGUAGUAUAAGUGGGAGCAGAACGUAUACAGUUUCGCGGCAAUGAAAUACCACUACUUUUAAUGUUGUUUUACUUAUCUACUUAUAGGGAUUAAUACAGGAUGCCGAGAAUUUCGGUUCUUGCGCUUGUAUAUAUCAGCUAAUAUGAGCAUUGUAUGACAACUGCAAGGUUGUCUGUCAUCCUAUGGAGUGUAGAGACAUAGUCAGAUGGGGAGUUUGACUGGGGCGGUACAUCUGUUAAACAAUAACGCAGAUGUCCAAAGACAAGCUCAAAGAGAACAGAAAUCUCUUGUAGACUAAAAGGGGAAAAGCUUGUUUGAUUUCUAUUUUCAGA